UUGCCCGAUGAUUAUAAAAAGACGCGAAAGAGGACUUAAGCUGGAUGCUUUCCCUUUUUUUCCUCUUCUCUUCUCUACUCUUUCUUUAACUCUUCUUUAUCUACUUUUCCUCCUUUUUCUCUUGCUUCUUUUUCUCUCUUUGGAUGUCCAGCGUCCUAUGAGCGAAGAUUAUGAGAUAUGAGGGCAA
This 187-nucleotide small nucleolar RNA is filed under the name Peromyscus maniculatus bairdii (prairie deer mouse). RNAcentral describes it as "Small nucleolar RNA SNORD97 (ENSPEMG00000029816.1)". It matches the Rfam family "Small nucleolar RNA SNORD97". Lineage: Eukaryota; Metazoa; Chordata; Mammalia; Rodentia; Cricetidae. RNAcentral also lists the same sequence under 1 other name. The record is from Rfam by way of RNAcentral.